GACGAACGCUGGCGGCGUGCCUAAUACAUGCAAGUAGAACGCUGAAGAGAGGAGCUUGCUCUUCUUGGAUGAGUUGCGAACGGGUGAGUAACGCGUAGGUAACCUGCCUUGUAGCGGGGGAUAACUAUUGGAAACGAUAGCUAAUACCGCAUAACAAUGGAUGACACAUGUCAUUUAUUCGAAAGGGGCAAUUGCUCCACUACAAGAUGGACCUGCGUUGUAUUAGCUAGUAGGUGAGGUAACGGCUCACCUAGGCGACGAUACAUAGCCGACCUGAGAGGGUGAUCGGCCACACUGGGACUGAGACACGGCCCAGACUCCUACGGGAGGCAGCAGUAGGGAAUCUUCGGCAAUGGGGGCAACCCUGACCGAGCAACGCCGCGUGAGUGAAGAAGGUUUUCGGAUCGUAAAGCUCUGUUGUAAGUCAAGAACGAGUGUGAGAGUGGAAAGUUCACACUGUGACGGUAGCUUACCAGAAAGGGACGGCUAACUACGUGCCAGCAGCCGCGGUAAUACGUAGGUCCCGAGCGUUGUCCGGAUUUAUUGGGCGUAAAGCGAGCGCAGGCGGUUUGAUAAGUCUGAAGUUAAAGGCUGUGGCUCAACCAUAGUUCGCUUUGGAAACUGUCAAACUUGAGUGCAGAAGGGGAGAGUGGAAUUCCAUGUGUAGCGGUGAAAUGCGUAGAUAUAUGGAGGAACACCGGUGGCGAAAGCGGCUCUCUGGUCUGUAACUGACGCUGAGGCUCGAAAGCGUGGGGAGCGAACAGGAUUAGAUACCCUGGUAGUCCACGCCGUAAACGAUGAGUGCUAGGUGUUGGAUCCUUUCCGGGAUUCAGUGCCGCAGCUAACGCAUUAAGCACUCCGCCUGGGGGGUACGACCGCAAGGUUGAAACUCAAAGGAAUUGACGGGGGCCCGCACAAGCGGUGGAGCAUGUGGUUUAAUUCGAAGCAACGCGAAGAACCUUACCAGGUCUUGACAUCCCGAUGCUAUUUCUAGAGAUAGAAAGUUACUUCGGUACAUCGGUGACAGGUGGUGCAUGGUUGUCGUCAGCUCGUGUCGUGAGAUGUUGGGUUAAGUCCCGCAACGAGCGCAACCCCUAUUGUUAGUUGCCAUCAUUCAGUUGGGCACUCUAGCGAGACUGCCGGUAAUAAACCGGAGGAAGGUGGGGAUGACGUCAAAUCAUCAUGCCCCUUAUGACCUGGGCUACACACGUGCUACAAUGGUUGGUACAACGAGUUGCGAGUCGGUGACGGCAAGCUAAUCUCUUAAAGCCAAUCUCAGUUCGGAUUGUAGGCUGCAACUCGCCUACAUGAAGUCGGAAUCGCUAGUAAUCGCGGAUCAGCACGCCGCGGUGAAUACGUUCCCGGGCCU
This 1369-nucleotide ribosomal RNA is filed under the name uncultured bacterium. RNAcentral's name for it is "bacterial SSU rRNA". It matches the Rfam family "Bacterial small subunit ribosomal RNA", at positions 28 to 1381 of the family's 1533-position model. The record is from RNAcentral.